RNAcentral lists this ribosomal RNA (141 nucleotides) under Monilinia fructicola. Its description in RNAcentral is "partial 28S ribosomal RNA". The stretch from base 50 to 141 matches the Rfam family "Eukaryotic large subunit ribosomal RNA", at positions 1 to 92 of the family's 3401-position model. Lineage: Eukaryota; Fungi; Ascomycota; Leotiomycetes; Helotiales; Sclerotiniaceae. The record is from RNAcentral.
CGUUACAGGUUCUCAGUGUGCUUCUGCCAAAACCCAAAUUUUCUAUGGUUGACCUCGGAUCAGGUAGGGAUACCCGCUGAACUUAAGCAUAUCAAUAAGCGGAGGAAAAGAAACCAACAGGGAUUGCCCCAGUAACGGCGA